AGUGAACGCUGGCGGUAGGCCUAACACAUGCAAGUCGAACGGCAGCACAGUAAGAGCUUGCUCUUACGGGUGGCGAGUGGCGGACGGGUGAGGAAUACAGCGGAAUCUACUUUUUCGUGGGGGAUAACGUAGGGAAACUUACGCUAAUACCGCAUACGACCUACGGGUGAAAGCAGGGGAUCUUCGUACCUUGCGCGAUUGAAUGAGCCGAUGUCGGAUUAGCUAGUUGGCGGGGUAAAGGCCCACCAAGGCGACGAUCCGUAGCUGGUCUGAGAGGAUGAUCAGCCAAACUGGAACUGAGACACGGUCCAGACUCCUACGGGAGGCAGCAGUGGGGAAUAUUGGACAAUGGGCGCAAGCCUGAUCCAGCCAUACCGCGUGGGUGAAGAAGGCCUUCGGGUUGUAAAGCCCUUUUGUUGGGAAAGAAAAGCAGCAGGUUAAUACCCCGCUGUUCUGACGGUACCCAAAGAAUAAGCACCGGCUAACUUCGUG
RNAcentral lists this ribosomal RNA (492 nucleotides) under uncultured bacterium. RNAcentral's name for it is "partial 16S ribosomal RNA". It matches the Rfam family "Bacterial small subunit ribosomal RNA", at positions 29 to 507 of the family's 1533-position model. The record is from RNAcentral.